Molecule: ribosomal RNA, 301 nt
Filed under: uncultured bacterium
Lineage: Bacteria
Description: partial 16S ribosomal RNA
Rfam family: Bacterial small subunit ribosomal RNA
Source: RNAcentral
CAGCCGCCGCGGUAACACAGAGGGUGCGAGCGUUAAUCGGAUUUACUGGGCGUAAAGCGUGCGUAGGCGGCUUUUUAAGUCGGAUGUGAAAUCCCUGAGCUUAACUUAGGAAUUGCAUUCGAUACUGGGAAGCUAGAGUAUGGGAGAGGAUGGUAGAAUUCCAGGUGUAGCGGUGAAAUGCGUAGAGAUCUGGAGGAAUACCGAUGGCGAAGGCAGCCAUCUGGCCUAAUACUGACGCUGAGGUACGAAAGCAUGGGGAGCAAACAGGAUUAGAUACCCGUGUAGUCCCUGUCUCUUAUAC